RNAcentral lists this ribosomal RNA (335 nucleotides) under Tetragnatha versicolor. Its description in RNAcentral is "partial 12S ribosomal RNA". Lineage: Eukaryota; Metazoa; Arthropoda; Arachnida; Araneae; Tetragnathidae. The record is from RNAcentral.
AUACCCUAUUAUUUAUACUAUAAAUUGGUAGUAAAAUUAUAAAAACCUUUAUAUUAUGGUGGCAUUUCAUUUUAUUAGAGGAGUAUGUUUAAUAAUCGUAAUUACACGAUUACUUUUACUUCUACUAAUAUUUUAUAUACCGCCGUUUAAAAUAAAUAUAAAAAUUUUAUUUUUAAAAAAAUUCUAAAAACUUAGGUAAAGGUGUAAACUAUGUAAAAGUUUAAAUGUUCUACAUUAAAUAAAAAUUUAAGGAAUAAUAUAACUAUAUAUUAAGAAAAGGGAUUUAUAAGUAUUAUUUUAUUAAUAUUAAAAUUUGAAUAAAAAAAUAAAUGUGC